CUUAAAAGAUCUUCUGCUAAGAUCGCUCACUUCCUGUGAGCAACGCAGAAGUCAGCACAUCCUGUGCA
This 68-nucleotide small RNA is filed under the name Lederbergia galactosidilytica. Its description in RNAcentral is "Bacillus galactosidilyticus Bacillaceae-1 RNA". It matches the Rfam family "Bacillaceae-1 RNA". Lineage: Bacteria; Bacillati; Bacillota; Bacilli; Caryophanales; Bacillaceae. The record is from Rfam by way of RNAcentral.